UUUACAGGGUCAUCAAAACACCAGGGCAGGUUAAACCUACACAAAACACCACGGCAGGUUAAACCUACACAAAACACCACGACAGGGUUAAACCUACACAAAACACCACGGCAGGUUAAACCUACACAAAACACCACGGCAGGGUUAAACCUACACAAAACACCACGGCAGGUUAAACCUACACAAAACACCACGGCAGGUUAAACCUACAC
Long non-coding RNA from Oncorhynchus keta (chum salmon), 212 nucleotides. RefSeq lists it as uncharacterized. The record is from RefSeq and is a predicted model, not a curated record. The transcript has 3 exons. Lineage: Eukaryota; Metazoa; Chordata; Actinopteri; Salmoniformes; Salmonidae.